UUUCCGUAGGUGAACCUGGGGAAGGAUCAUUAUUGUAUAACCGAGGUGCGAGGGCUGUCGCUGACCCGAAAGGUCGUGCACGCCCGAGUGCCCUCACACACAUCCAUCUCACCCCUAUGUGCACCACCGCGUGGGUCCCCCUUUGGCUUGUUCGGAGGGGGGCUUGCGUUUUCACACAAACUUUGUAUGCAGUGUAGAAUGUAUUUUUUGUUUUUGCGAUCACGCAAUCAAUACAACUUUCAACAACGGAUCUCUUGGCUCUC
This 263-nucleotide unclassified non-coding RNA is filed under the name plant metagenome. RNAcentral's name for it is "partial contains small subunit ribosomal RNA, internal transcribed spacer 1, and 5.8S ribosomal RNA". The record is from RNAcentral.